This 838-nucleotide ribosomal RNA is filed under the name 'Calendula officinalis' phytoplasma. Its description in RNAcentral is "bacterial SSU rRNA". It matches the Rfam family "Bacterial small subunit ribosomal RNA", at positions 377 to 1222 of the family's 1533-position model. The record is from RNAcentral. Lineage: Bacteria; Bacillati; Mycoplasmatota; Mollicutes; Acholeplasmatales; Acholeplasmataceae.
GGGAAUCUGACCGAGCAACGCCGCGUGAAUGACGAAGUACUUCGGUAUGUAAAGUUCUUUUAUCAAGGAAGAAAAGCAAAUGGCGAACCAUUUGUUUGCCGGUACUUGAUGAAUAAGCCCCGGCUAAUUAUGUGCCAGCAGCCGCGGUAAGACAUAAGGGGCAAGUGUUAUCCGGAAUUAUUGGGCGUAAAGGGUGCGUAGGCGGUCUAGUAAGUCAGUGGUGUAAUGGCAACGCUUAACGUUGUCCGGCUAUUGAAACUGCUAAACUUGAGUUAGAUAGAGGCGAGUGGAAUUCCAUGUGUAGCGGUAAAAUGCGUAAAUAUAUGGAGGAACACCAGAGGCGUAGGCGGCUCGCUGGGUCUUAACUGACGCUGAGGCACGAAAGCGUGGGGAGCAAACAGGAUUAGAUACCCUGGUAGUCCACGCCGUAAACGAUGAGUACUAAGUGUCGGGUUAAACCGGUACUGAAGUUAACACAUUAAGUACUCCGCCUGAGUAGUACGUACGCAAGUAUGAAACUUAAAGGAAUUGACGGGACUCCGCACAAGCGGUGGAUCAUGUUGUUUAAUUCGAAGAUACCCGAAAAACCUUACCAGGUCUUGACAUGUUUUUGCAAAAUGAUAGUAAUAUCGUGGAGGUUACCAGAAACACAGGUGGUGCAUGGUUGUCGUCAGCUCGUGUCGUGAGAUGUUAGGUUAAGUCCUAAAACGAGCGAAACCCUUAUCGUUAGUUGCCAGCACGUUAUGGUGGGGACUUUAACGAGACUGCCAAUGAUAAAUUGGAGGAAGGUGAGGAUCACGUCAAAUCAGCAUGCCCCAUAAGACUUGGGCUACGCACC